Molecule: ribosomal RNA, 718 nt
Filed under: Mycobacteroides abscessus
Lineage: Bacteria; Bacillati; Actinomycetota; Actinomycetes; Mycobacteriales; Mycobacteriaceae
Description: bacterial SSU rRNA
Rfam family: Bacterial small subunit ribosomal RNA
Source: RNAcentral
AGUCGAACGGAAAGGCCCUUCGGGGUACUCGAGUGGCGAAGGGGAGUAACACGUGGGUGAUCUGCCCUGCACUCUGGGAUAAGCCUGGGAAACUGGGUCUAAUACCGGAUAGGACCACACACUUCAUGGUGAGUGGUGCAAAGCUUUUGCGGUGUGGGAUGAGCCCGCGGCCUAUCAGCUUGUUGGUGGGGUAAUGGCCCACCAAGGCGACGACGGGUAGCCGGCCUGAGAGGGUGACCGGCCACACUGGGACUGAGAUACGGCCCAGACUCCUACGGGAGGCAGCAGUGGGGAAUAUUGCACAAUGGGCGCAAGCCUGAUGCAGCGACGCCGCGUGAGGGAUGACGGCCUUCGGGUUGUAAACCUCUUUCAGUAGGGACGAAGCGAAAGUGACGGUACCUACAGAAGAAGGACCGGCCAACUACGUGCCAGCAGCCGCGGUAAUACGUAGGGUCCGAGCGUUGUCCGGAAUUACUGGGCGUAAAGAGCUCGUAGGUGGUUUGUCGCGUUGUUCGUGAAACCUCACAGCUUAACUGUGGGCGUGCGGGCAAUACGGGCAGACUAGAGUACUGCAGGGGAGACUGGAAUUCCUGGUGUAGCGGUGGAAUGCGCAAAUAUCAGGAGGAACACCGGUGGCGAAGGCGGGUCUCUGGGCAGUAACUGACGCUGAGGAGCGAAAGCGUGGGUAGCAAACAGAAUUAGAUACCCGGGGUACCCA